CUAACGCUAUCUAGAGGCCUUCCUCUAAAGUCACCUCCAUUAACAUAUAUCCAGGUGUGAGGAAGAAGGCUUUUCAGGAGUAACGAAAGACACUCAGCAAAUUCCGAGGCUUUUAGGAGUUCUGUGCCAGGACUGAGGACAAAAACAAAACUUAUUUCUUAUUAUACCACAAAGUUAAAAGCAAGAGGAAGAAGGCAAGUAAAACUGAAAGAACAGUUUUUAUAACUCAUAGAAAGAAUAUACAAUAUUUCAUAUAUAAUAGUAUGUUACAUGUAUAAAACAUCUAUUAUAUACACAGCAGCCUAAUCAUAGAAAAUAUUUGUAAACUGGGUAAAAAUUAGUAGCAAGCAGUUUGCCUUAGUAAAGGACAAAAUCCAAGGUGGUGGUUACACUAUCAAUACAAGAUGUGCUGUAAAAAGAUGAAUUCCUGCAGUAAUGUCUUUUAUAUAUCACUUCAGAAUUCAGAUUGAAGUCUAGAGAAGACUCAACAUGUAGAGCAUUUAAGAGGAACAGGAAACUUGUUAUAUACAUUUCUACUGUGCUAGCCAAGAUUCCUCACUUUAGAACAUGCAUUUGUAACAGAAACCCUACAACAGCAUUCCCUCACGCUGGAUCUGUCACUAUGCAACUUCCCUAUAAGGAGGCAGUAAGAUACUUCUCUUUUCUCAAAAUGAGGUACCAGCCUUCCACACCACUCCCACAUUAAAGUGUGCCUUUAACAUAACUGUUGAGUUUGAUACUUUAAUUCUUACUAGACUUUAACUAGGUCUAGAUGUAAUGGUUUCAGACACCCAGGGAAAGAGACCAGUCAACCAUCAAUACUCGACACCAGUGUCGAAAUGUGAUUCCCCAGAUCAGCCACAUCAGCAACACCUGGGAACCUGAUGGAAAUACUUAUUAUCAAGCCCCAUCCUAGACUUACUGAUUCAGAAACUCUGUGGGGUGGGCCCAGCAAUUAACGAGAUGACCAGGUGAUUAUGAUGCAUGCUCACAUUGUGAAACCAGUGUUCCAGACACUGCUGGACUAUUCUCUUUUUUUUAAUUCUGUUACUCUUUUUUUCAGUAUACAAGACUCUUAGAGAGCUCAGAGAUUUUUCUGUCCCCACAGAAUGGGAAGUCAGAUGAUAAGAAACUUGAAUAAACAUAGUUUUCCUGAUAUUUUCUGGAUUCACUGAAAGCAUUUUUUUUUUCUUUUCUAAACAUCAUUUAACCUGGAGGCAACACAUUUUCUUUUCAAUAACUUGUCAUGGUUACUCAUGACUUCUUCUAGAUCACAAGAUUCAUUCCUGAGCCUUUUAAAGAUCUUUUUAAAAACAUGUUUCAAUUACCCAUUAUCAAUACUCUAUGCCAAUGAGCUUUGAAUCAUUUUAUAUUCCACUGAAUAUAGAAAAAUAGGAAUGUAUACACUUUGGAGCCAGUCUGCCUUAGCCACUUAUAAGCAGUGUGACCUUGGGCAAGCUACUUAAUUUCUCUAGGUCUUAGUUUCCUCGUCUAUACACUGUAGAUAAUAAUAACACCUCUCAUAUGUGGUUGUUAUAGGAUUAACUGUUAAUAUAUACAACAGUACCUGCACCAGUAAGCAUCACGAUAAAUGCUAUUACUAUCAUAACUAUAGUAGUUCAGGGACCUAGACAACACAGAGGGAAAGCCACCCUAGGGUUAGGACAACUGAUCAAUACUAAGGAGAGGUGGGAAUCUCCCUUGGAACUGCACGAAAGAGUAGAUACAAAGAGCAAGGAACUACUCUACAACUGCAGAUACAGUUCUCCUUAAAAGGGAGAUAAUACGUAACAGUCUAGAACCAGAAAGUAAAUGACUCAUGAUCAAACCUAAUUUGCCACCAAUAUGAUACUGACCUAAAGACUUAAAUGAAGACUCAAGAAAAAGACGUUAAGAGAUUAAAGUACAAAUCAAUCCACAGCACAAGUCAGGAUUAUGGUUUUCAUAAGGUUCCAUGUUAAUGAAUAAGCUAGAAAAUCUUCUAGAGUGACUCUCUGUUUAAUCACUCAUUUAUGCCCUUAAAUCAGGCAAGCUCAAAGAAAGAUCACUUUACUUUUGCUUACCAUCAAGAGAAUUCUGAAUGACACAUACAUCAUAAUCAGAUUACACCAUAAAGGUAACAAGAAAAGCUAUAUGAAAAAUUAACAAAAAGCUUACCUGGCUUACAUGGUUACAAUUUAUGGAUAAUAAUCAAAGAUAUUAAGAAAAAAAUCAUUAACCCACUUUUCUCAUUAGGAAAUCAUUUGAUUUGAAAUCUCAAAGUACAGAUGCAAGACCUCAAAUAGACUCCACUCUGAUCUGUGGUUUAAAUAUAUUCAGAACUGCUUAGUUUUCGUCAUGAUGGAACCUUUUCUGGAUUUUCAGGGCAAUUUCAGGACAAGACACUGCCCACCCCAAUUAGGGCUAGGGUGAAAGUGUGUUCUAAGUAUUCAACUGCAAGUGAGAAAUCACAAAAGGAAGGCUGUGUUCCUGCUGACUUUAAUAAAUCAAUGGCAAACUUACCUGUUACAGUAUUAAAUGUGCCCUUACCAGAUUAUGAUAUUGCUCUUUUACAUCUAAAACCCUUGCAUGUGACACAAAUUCUCCUUGGUCACUCAAAGUAUUCUAUUAUUGUGACAGGCCAGGUCAACCACUGUAUCACAGGAACUCAGCACACAGGCUAAUUUGUAUAUUUCUCCACAUAUAGUCCAGUAUGUUGCAUUAUUUUGAAAUAUUAAAAAAGAAGAGAAUCCCUAUAAACCCAGGGCAGUUUGAAAAAUCAAUCAUUUUGGCUUAGGAUGGACAGUCUCCAAAUAUGGAGCUGUCUAUUUUAUGCAAUGGUCAGCUUGCCCUCCUGGGACAUAUUUAAGUAGAGGCAAGCUGACUUUCUUAUAGGGGAGACAGGGUGGGUGAUUUUAAACAGAGCUCUAAGGGCCCGUGGGCCUCUAACAGGGCCCAAGAAGACUUACCUGCCAGAGCCUUGAUGCGGGACCGCUCGAAGAGCCUUGCAGAACUGUUCUCGUUGUCCCAGUCGUCCACAUCCCAGCGGUUGUUGACAUCGCUGUACUGCUGUUGGAUCUCAAUGUUGUCAUAGUCUGUGGCUACUGUGGUCGUCAUCUUGAACUGUCUCAGCUGCUCCUCCACAUCAGAUCCUUCUUAGAGUUCUUUGAGAAAGAGAAAGAAAACCUAUUUAGACAUCUAAUAUGCACUGGGUGCCCAUGAAACCCGCUGGGAUAAAGAGUGACUGCUGUGCCAGGGAAGAGGUCAGCUACACAGGCAGGGAAUAUCAGUGCUUCUCCUGCCUCACCGCCACGGAGGGAACAUGGCAAUGACAACAAGUGCCUUCUUCUCAAGGUCUCUGGAACCGGCUCCUGACAAGAAUAACAAACCUUCACCAUCAGCUUCCAGAUGAUAGCAGAGGUGAGGCCUUCGGGGCCACAAAGCAGAAAACCACCAGCUUCCCGAACAUCAUAGCUACUGUCUCUCA
Canis lupus familiaris (dog) is the source of this 3466-nucleotide long non-coding RNA. RefSeq lists it as uncharacterized. Lineage: Eukaryota; Metazoa; Chordata; Mammalia; Carnivora; Canidae. The transcript is spliced from 3 exons. The record is from RefSeq and is a predicted model, not a curated record.